Molecule: ribosomal RNA, 497 nt
Filed under: uncultured bacterium
Lineage: Bacteria
Description: partial 16S ribosomal RNA
Rfam family: Bacterial small subunit ribosomal RNA
Source: RNAcentral
GACGAACGCUGGCGGCGUGCCUAAUACAUGCAAGUAGAACGCUGAAGAGAGGAGCUUGCUCUUCUUGGAUGAGUUGCGCACGGGUGAGUAACGCGUAGGUAACCUGCCUUGUAGCGGGGGAUAACUAUUGGAAACGAUAGCUAAUACCGCAUAACAAUGGAUUACACAUGUCUUUUAUUUGAAAUGGGCAAUUGCUCUACUACAAGAUGGACCUGCGUUGUAUUAGCUAGUAGGUGAGGUAAUGGCUCACCUAGGCGAGGAUACAUAGCCGACCUGAGAGGCUGAUCGGCCACACUGGGACUGAGACACGGCCCAGACUCCUACGGGAGGCAGCAGUAGGGAAGCUUCGGCAAUGGGAGCAACCCUGACCGAGCAACGCCGCGUGAGUGAAGAAGGUUAUCGGAUCGUAAAGCUCAGUUGUAAGUCAAGAGCGGGUGUGAGAGUGGAAAGUUCACACUGUGACGGUAGCUUACCAGAAAGGGACGGCUAACUACGUG